RNAcentral lists this ribosomal RNA (493 nucleotides) under uncultured bacterium. Its description in RNAcentral is "partial 16S ribosomal RNA". It matches the Rfam family "Bacterial small subunit ribosomal RNA", at positions 27 to 507 of the family's 1533-position model. The record is from RNAcentral.
GAGUGACCGCUGGCGGUAGGCCUACCCCAUGCAAGUCGAACGGCAGCACAGUAAGAGCUUGCUCUUACGGGUGGCGAGUGGCGGACGGGUGCGGAAUACAUCGGAAUCUACUUUUUCGUGGGGGAUAACGUAGGGAAACUUACGCUAAUACCGCAUACGACCUACGGGUGAAAGCAGGGGAUCUUCGGACCUUGCGCGAUUGAAUGAGCCGAUGUCGGAUUAGCUAGUUGGCGGGGUAAAGGCACACCAAGGCGACGAUCCGUAGCUGGUCUGAGAGGAUGAUUAGCCACACUGUAACUGAGACACGGUCCAGACUCCUACGGUAGGCCGCAGUGGGGAAUAUUGGACAAUGGGCGCAAGCCUGAUCCAGCCAUACCGCGUGGGUGAAGAAGGCCCUCUGGUUGGAAAGCCCUGUUGUUGUGAAAGAAAAGCAGCAGGUUAAUACCCCGCUGUUCUGACGGUACCCAAAGAAUAAGCACCGGCUAACUUCGUG